CCUUCUCAAGGACACCCGCGCGGGGACGGGGCUGCCGCCUUCAGCACCAAAAAGAGCGUUAUUGUUUCAGUUUGUCUCACCGCCCUUGAACAAACACAGAGAGACGCUGUUGCUUCUCAUCGACCCAGUGGAGCGUAUGGAAACGGGAAAAUUCUUCUACGGGACAAGUGCGAGCUUUCGAGGGAAACGGAGCCUCCAGCCGUCUCACCACCCGCGCCAACACUGACCACAUCUGGGGAGCACGCGCCUUUGUGUCUGCCUUAUCGGGGAAGGGUUAGGGCCACUGGGAGCUAACACAACUGAUGAAAGACCAGAAGCGCAGGCUUAGGUCAGCAGGAAUCAAGGAAACGCUGUGGGUCAAGACGCAGGAAGGAGGAACACCGGCCACCUCCUUUGACCAGGACAGAGGUCAGGACGGCAUCAGUGACACACAACGGCUAUUGCCACGAAGAGAACUGGCUCUGGCAGAAUGGAAGGCCACGGCGGAGAGCGUCUGACGCCCCACUGACGCAGCCAGGAGAUGGAACUAGCGCUGCCCCUUCGGACCAAGUUACCGCUCUGAGAGCUACCCUGGAGGAAUCAGGAGCACUUCCUUCGUGCCAGGGCCUGUGCUGGGCAUCAGAGAAAAGCUGCAAAUAAUAAAGAUGUCCGUAAAUAUUUAUUAAAGGCUCACGGAUC
RNAcentral lists this long non-coding RNA (678 nucleotides) under Sus scrofa (pig). RNAcentral describes it as "lncRNA (ENSSSCG00030039210.1)". The record is from RNAcentral. Lineage: Eukaryota; Metazoa; Chordata; Mammalia; Artiodactyla; Suidae.